UGGAAUGUAGCCAAGUGGUAAGGCAUUGAACUUUGACUUCAUGAUUCGAAGGUUCAAUUCCUUCCAUUUCAA
RNAcentral lists this transfer RNA (72 nucleotides) under Pteridomonas sp. YPF1301. Its description in RNAcentral is "tRNA-Gln". It matches the Rfam family "tRNA". From Rfam's summary of the family: Transfer RNA (tRNA) molecules are approximately 80 nucleotides in length. Their secondary structure includes four short double-helical elements and three loops (D, anti-codon, and T loops). Further hydrogen bonds mediate the characteristic L-shaped molecular structure. tRNAs have two regions of fundamental functional importance: the anti-codon, which is responsible for specific mRNA codon recognition, and the 3' end, to which the tRNAs corresponding amino acid is attached (by aminoacyl-tRNA synthetases). tRNAs cope with the degeneracy of the genetic code in two manners: having more than one tRNA (with a specific anti-codon) for a particular amino acid; and 'wobble' base-pairing, i.e. permitting non-standard base-pairing at the 3rd anti-codon position. Lineage: Eukaryota; Dictyochophyceae; Pedinellales. The record is from RNAcentral.